RNAcentral lists this ribosomal RNA (253 nucleotides) under uncultured bacterium. RNAcentral's name for it is "partial 16S ribosomal RNA". It matches the Rfam family "Bacterial small subunit ribosomal RNA", at positions 524 to 776 of the family's 1533-position model. The record is from RNAcentral.
UACAGAGGGUGCGAGCGUUAAUCGGAAUUACUGGGCGUAAAGGGCGCGUAGGCGGUUGGAUAAGUCAGCUGUGAAAACCACGGGCUUAACUCGUGGCCUGCAGUUGAGACUGUCUGGCUUGAGUGUGGGAGAGGAGAGUGGAAUUCCUGGUGUAGCGGUGAAAUGCGUAGAUAUCAGGAGGAACACCGGUGGCGAAGGCGGCUCUCUGGACCACAACUGACGCUGAGGCGCGAAAGCUAGGGGAGCAAACAGG